CGUCUUCGGCGUCCGCAUUGUAAUCUCAAGAAGUGUUUUCCGCUUCGGACCAUGCCUAAGUCCCUUGGAAAAGGGCAUCAUAGAGGGUGAUAAUCCCGUACAUGGCAUGGAGCGCCCGAGGCUUUGUGAUACGCUUUCUAAGAGUCGAGUUGUUUGGGAAUGCAGCUCAAAAUGGGUGGUAAAUGCCAUCUAAGGCUAAAUAUUGGGGAGAGACCGAUAGCGAACAAGUACAGUGAUGGAAAGAUGAAAAGAACUUUGAAAAGAGAGUUAAACAGUACGUGAAAUUGCCAAAAGGGAAGGGUAGGAGGUCAGAGAUGCGUCUUGGGAUUCAGCCUUGCUUUUGCUUGGUGUUUUUCCCAAGUUGCAGGCCAACGUCGGUUUUGGGCACUGGAGAAGGGUGGAAGGAACGUGGCACCUCUCGGGGUGUGUUAUAGCCUUCUACUGGAUACAGCGACCGAGACCGAGGACAGCAGCGUACUCGCAAGAGCGGGCCUUCGGGCACCUUUACGCUUAGGGCGUUGGCAUAAUGGCCCUCUACCACC
RNAcentral lists this ribosomal RNA (542 nucleotides) under Anthracocystis elionuri. RNAcentral describes it as "LSU rRNA". It matches the Rfam family "Eukaryotic large subunit ribosomal RNA", at positions 126 to 649 of the family's 3401-position model. Lineage: Eukaryota; Fungi; Basidiomycota; Ustilaginomycetes; Ustilaginales; Ustilaginaceae. The record is from RNAcentral.